ACGAGGGAAAAUAAGCAGGAAAAGGUAAACAAGGAGGAAAAGGAAGCGUGGAAAAAUAACUUGACCAAGCUGAAAAUGAAUCACCUUGACCCCGAAGAUGCCAUAUUCCUGGUUGAUGCGUUCCUGGAUGAGUGCAAGUUUCUUCAGCAAGCGUUAAAAGCGUGUCCUGUGCUCCGUCUACCAGCACAACUGAAGACACUGUGAUCAUCGAAAAUUUUGGUUUUUUUCCCUUAAUACUUGUUUCCUUAUUUGUUAUGUGGUAAUUGCCCAGAUUUAACAUUGCCUUCUUCCCUUUUAAUUUUCAGACUCCCUCAUUCAAGAUGUCCGAGACCUCUUGGGAAGUGGUGCUGAACAACCUUUCCCCUCAGACUGGAGGAACAGGCAAACUACCUCUCUGGAGAAUUGGACAGUAAUGAGGCCCUUCAUGGUGAACAAUAUGUUGUCAUCUGAGAAGCCCAAGGAGGGGGUUUGCCAUCACUGUGGACACAAGGCUGCAGUAGUGAUGUGUAGGGACUGUUUACCGCGAUCACUCUACUGCACAGCCUGUGACCUUUCCACACAUGAGGCCCUGGUGCUUCAUAACAGAGCAUCCAUGGUGGAGGGGUUCUUCAGACACCUGCCGCCAUCCACUUUUGUUCAGCAGCACGAGGGAGGGAAAUUCUCCUAUCAUGAAAAAG
Molecule: long non-coding RNA, 677 nt
Organism: Cyprinus carpio carpio
Lineage: Eukaryota; Metazoa; Chordata; Actinopteri; Cypriniformes; Cyprinidae
Source: Ensembl